This 530-nucleotide ribosomal RNA is filed under the name uncultured bacterium. RNAcentral describes it as "bacterial SSU rRNA". It matches the Rfam family "Bacterial small subunit ribosomal RNA", at positions 355 to 896 of the family's 1533-position model. The record is from RNAcentral.
UGGGGAAUAUUGCACAAUGGGCGGAAGCCUGAUGCAGCGACGCCGCGUGGGGGAUGAAGGCCUUCGGGUUGUAAACUCCUUUCGACAGGGACGAAGCUUUUGUGACGGUACCUGUAUAAGAAGCACCGGCUAACUACGUGCCAGCAGCCGCGGUAAUACGUAGGGUGCGAGCGUUGUCCGGAAUUACUGGGCGUAAAGAGCUCGUAGGUGGUUUGUCGCGUCGUCUGUGAAAUUCCGGGGCUUAACUCCGGGCGUGCAGGCGAUACGGGCUGACUUGAGUGCUGUAGGGGAGACUGGAAUUCCUGGUGUAGCGGUGAAAUGCGCAGAUAUCAGGAGGAACACCGAUGGCGAAGGCAGGUCUCUGGGCAGUAACUGACGCUGAGGAGCGAAAGCAUGGGUAGCGAACAGGAUUAGAUACCCUGGUAGUCCACGCCGUAAACGAUGAGUGCUAGGUGUUAGACCCUUUCCGGGGUUUAGUGCCGCAGCUAACGCAUUAAGCACUCCGCCUGGGGAGUACGACCGCAAGGUUG